RNAcentral lists this ribosomal RNA (406 nucleotides) under uncultured bacterium. RNAcentral's name for it is "partial 16S ribosomal RNA". It matches the Rfam family "Bacterial small subunit ribosomal RNA", at positions 30 to 526 of the family's 1533-position model. The record is from RNAcentral.
AUUGAACGCUGGCGGCAGGCCUAACACAUGCAAGUCGAACGAGUGGCGGACGGGUGAGUAAUGUCUGGGAAACUGCCCGAUGGAGGGGGAUAACUACUGGAAACGGUAGCUAAUAACGCAUACCAUCGGAUGUGCCCAGAUGGGAUUAGCUUGUAGGUGAGGUAACGGCUCACCUAGGCGAAGCUACCUAGCUGGUCUGAGAGGAUGACCAGUCACACGGGAAAUAAGACACGGUCCAGACUCCGACGGGAGGCAGCAGUGGGGAAUAGUGCACGAUGGGCGCAAGCCGGAUGCAGCCAUGCCGCGUGUAUGAAGAAGGCCUUCGGUUUGUAAAGUACUUUCAGCGGGGAGUCGUUACCCGCAGAAGAAGCACCGGCUAACUCCGUGCCAGCAGCCGCGGUAAUUC